CACUGAGUCAACGGGCCUUGAUCCCGUAAUCACUUAAUUAACAACUAAACACCCAAUCCAGCGGGCUUUAACUCAG
Molecule: transfer RNA, 76 nt
Filed under: Paroedura picta
Lineage: Eukaryota; Metazoa; Chordata; Lepidosauria; Squamata; Gekkonidae
Description: tRNA-Asn
Source: RNAcentral